CUACGGGUUGCUGCAGUGGGGAAUAUUGCACAAUGGGCGCAAGCCUGAUGCAGCCAUGCCGCGUGUAUGAAGAAGGCCUUCGGGUUGUAAAGUACUUUCAGCGGGGAGGAAGGGAGUAAAGUUAAUACCUUUGCUCAUUGACGUUACCCGCAGAAGAAGCCCCGGCUAACUCCGUGCCAGCAGCCGCGGUAAUACGGAGGGUGCAAGCGUUAAUCGGAAUUACUGGGCGUAAAGCGCACGCAGGCGGUUUGUUAAGUCAGAUGUGAAAUCCCCGGGCUCAACCUGGGAACUGCAUCUGAUACUGACAAGCUUGAGUCUCGUAGAGGGGGGUAGAAUUCCAGGUGUAGCGGUGAAAUGCGUAGAGAUCUGGAGGAAUACCGGUGGCGAAGGCGGCCCCCUGGACGAAGACUGACGCUCAGGUGCGAAAGCGUGGGGAGCAAACAGGAUUAGAUACCCUCGUAGUC
This 464-nucleotide ribosomal RNA is filed under the name uncultured bacterium. RNAcentral's name for it is "partial 16S ribosomal RNA". It matches the Rfam family "Bacterial small subunit ribosomal RNA", at positions 339 to 795 of the family's 1533-position model. The record is from RNAcentral.